UGGGGAAUAUUGCACAAUGGGCGAAAGCCUGAUGCAGCAACGCCGCGUGAGUGAUGAAGGCCUUCGGGUUGUAAAGCUCUGUCUUUUGGGACGAUAAUGACGGUACCAAAGGAGGAAGCCACGGCUAACUACGUGCCAGCAGCCGCGGUAAUACGUAGGUGGCAAGCGUUGUCCGGAUUUACUGGGCGUAAAGGAUGCGUAGGCGGAUUUUUAAGUGAGAUGUGAAAUACCCGGGCUUAACUUGGGUGCUGCAUUUCAAACUGGGAAUCUAGAGUGCGGGAGAGGAGAAUGGAAUUCCUAGUGUAGCGGUGAAAAUGCGUAGAGAUUAGGAAGAACACCAGUGGCGAAGGCGAUUCUCUGGACCGUAACUGACGCUGAGGCAUGAAAAGCGUGGGUAGCAAAACAGGAUUAGAUACCCUGGUAGUCCACGCCGUAAACGAUGAGUACUAGGUGUAGGAGGUAUCGACCCCUUCUGUGCCGCAGUUAACACAAUCAAGUACUCCGCCUGGGAAGUACGAUCGCAAGAUUAAAAACUUAAAAUGAAUUGACGGGGGUC
Molecule: ribosomal RNA, 556 nt
Filed under: uncultured bacterium
Lineage: Bacteria
Description: partial 16S ribosomal RNA
Rfam family: Bacterial small subunit ribosomal RNA
Source: RNAcentral